UUGGUUUCAGCUUUCUGGCAUUUCCCAAG
RNAcentral lists this non-coding RNA (29 nucleotides) under Mus musculus (house mouse). Lineage: Eukaryota; Metazoa; Chordata; Mammalia; Rodentia; Muridae. The record is from RNAcentral.